Molecule: ribosomal RNA, 253 nt
Filed under: uncultured bacterium
Lineage: Bacteria
Description: partial 16S ribosomal RNA
Rfam family: Bacterial small subunit ribosomal RNA
Source: RNAcentral
GACGAAGGGGGCUAGCGUUGUUCGGAAUUACUGGGCGUAAAGCGCGUGUAGGCGGUUAUCCAAGUCAGGUGUGAAAGCCUUGAGCUCAACUCAAGAAAUGCACUUGGUACUGGGUGACUAGAGGACCGGAGAGGAUAGUGGAAUUCCCAGUGUAGUGGUGAAAUACGUAGAGAUUGGGAAGAACACCAGUGGCGAAGGCGGCUCACUGGCCCGGUACUGACGCUGAGGUGCGAAAGCGUGGGGAGCAAACAGG